GAUGAACGCUGGCGGCGUGCCUAAUACAUGCAAGUCGAGCGAACGGACGAGAAGCUUGCUUCUCUGAUGUUAGCGGCGGACGGGUGAGUAACACGUGGGUAACCUACCUAUAAGACUGGGAUAACUUCGGGACACCGUAGCUAAUACCGGAUAAUAUUUUGAACCGCAUGGUUCAAUAGUGAAAGUCGGUUUUUCUGUCACUUAUAGAUGGAUCCGCGCUGCAUUAGCUAGUUGGUAAGGUAACGGCUUACCAAGGCAACGAUGCAUAGCCGACCUGAGAGGGUGAUCGGCCACACGGGAACUGAGACACGGUCCAGACUCCUACGGGAGGCAGCAGUAGGGAAUCUUCCGCAAUGGUCGAAAGCCUGACGGAGCAACGCCGCGUGAGUGAUGAAGGUCUUCGGAUCGUAAAACUCUGUUAUUAGGGAAGAACAUAUGUGUAAGUAACUGUGCACAUCUUGACGGUACCUAAUCAGAAAGCCACGGCUAACUACGUG
This 497-nucleotide ribosomal RNA is filed under the name uncultured bacterium. RNAcentral's name for it is "partial 16S ribosomal RNA". It matches the Rfam family "Bacterial small subunit ribosomal RNA", at positions 28 to 507 of the family's 1533-position model. The record is from RNAcentral.